GGGGAUUUAGCUCAGUGGUAGAGCGCUUGCCUCGCAAGCACAAGGCCCUGGGUUCGGUCCCCAGCUCCA
This is a non-coding RNA of Rattus norvegicus (Norway rat), 69 nucleotides long. Lineage: Eukaryota; Metazoa; Chordata; Mammalia; Rodentia; Muridae. The record is from Rfam.